This 237-nucleotide ribosomal RNA is filed under the name Triticum aestivum (bread wheat). RNAcentral describes it as "partial small subunit ribosomal RNA". Lineage: Eukaryota; Viridiplantae; Streptophyta; Magnoliopsida; Poales; Poaceae. The record is from RNAcentral.
AUGGAUCCGAUAGCAGUGACCACACCAUGGAGUACGUCAGCUCAGCUUCCGACGACGGCACCAUUAAGAUCCCUGCUACUACUGAAGACUCCGAUUUUGAGGGACCUGAAAUGGAGUUGCUUGUUUUGUGACAUGGACAUGGGAAGGCCGCAGAGAGGCGUGUUGCUUUCGGAGGAAUCCACACUGGCAGGAGGUUUCUUUACGGUGCUAAGAAGGAAGGUAAAAACUGUGGACUAG